CGCCGCGUUCGCAGGCGCGGCGGGCCAUCGUGUUGCGAUGAUCAGGGUCGAACAUCAUCCGGCGACACCUCGGUUCGAGGCUGAGCGCGCUGGCCA
Molecule: transfer RNA, 96 nt
Filed under: Mycobacterium xenopi
Lineage: Bacteria; Bacillati; Actinomycetota; Actinomycetes; Mycobacteriales; Mycobacteriaceae
Description: tRNA-???(tg)
Source: RNAcentral